UCUCCGUUGGUGAACCAGCGGAGGGAUCAUUACAGAGUCGUAAAACACUCCCAAACCCAUGUGAACUUACCAUUUGUUGCCUCGGCAGAGCCUACCCUGUAGCUACCCUAUAAGGUGGCUACCCUGUAGCGCCCCGCCGGUGGACCAUUAAACUCUUGUUAUUCUAUGGAUAUCUGAGCGUCUUAUUUAAUAAGUUAAAACUUUCAACAACGGAUCUCUUGGUUCUGGCAUCGAUGAAGAACGCAGC
Molecule: unclassified non-coding RNA, 247 nt
Filed under: uncultured fungus
Lineage: Eukaryota; Fungi
Description: sequence contains ITS1, 5.8S rRNA gene
Rfam family: 5.8S ribosomal RNA (bases 199-247)
Source: RNAcentral